This 374-nucleotide RNase P RNA is filed under the name Clostridia bacterium BRH_c25. RNAcentral's name for it is "bacterial RNase P". It matches the Rfam family "Bacterial RNase P class A". Rfam says of the family: Ribonuclease P (RNase P) is a ubiquitous endoribonuclease, found in archaea, bacteria and eukarya as well as chloroplasts and mitochondria. Its best characterised activity is the generation of mature 5'-ends of tRNAs by cleaving the 5'-leader elements of precursor-tRNAs. Lineage: Bacteria; Bacillati; Bacillota; Clostridia. The record is from RNAcentral.
UGAGUAAGUCAGAUGAUCGCGUGUGCAGCAAUGCAUACGAGGAAAGUCCGGGCUCCAGAGGGCAGGGUGCCGGGUAAUCCCCGGUGGAGGCGACUCCAAGGAAAGUGCAACAGAGAUAUACCGCGAAGCAGCGGGCUUAGGCCGGCUGCCGCAAGGAUGGAAAGGCGAGGUAAGAGCUCACCAGCGGUUAGGUAACUAACCGGCUAUGUAAACCCCACCUGGAGCAAGACCAAAUAGAGAGACAGUCAGAGCGCAAGCUUUGGCAGGAACGGCCCGUUCCGUCUCCGGGUAAGGUCGCUUGAGCUUGUCGGUGACGUCAAGCCUAGAUAGAUGAUCGUCUAAUACAGAACCCGGCUUAUAGACUUACUCAGAUU